UGGCUCAGACGGUAAAGCGUCUGUCUGCUAUGCAGAGGACCCAGGUUCGAUCCCUGG
Transfer RNA from Ovis aries (sheep), 57 nucleotides. It matches the Rfam family "tRNA", at positions 8 to 63 of the family's 71-position model. Rfam says of the family: Transfer RNA (tRNA) molecules are approximately 80 nucleotides in length. Their secondary structure includes four short double-helical elements and three loops (D, anti-codon, and T loops). The record is from Rfam. Lineage: Eukaryota; Metazoa; Chordata; Mammalia; Artiodactyla; Bovidae.